CUGGAGAACGUAGUCCCCCAGGUUCCCGUUUGGUCCUAGCUUGCCUCACUUUCGUCAAGAGAACUUUCCCAUCUAGUUCUGCCUGUUGAAGAAGGGACUCCUUACAGAGAGACCAUCAGCAAUGCCUAAGCUCCAAACCUUCUGGCUCCCUGGGCACCCAGGCUUUGGUAUGACUUUGGUGGCUCUACCCUGAUGGGAGGAUGACCAGGCUCAGACCAUGCUGUCCAGUGUCAAAGGCUGCUCUAGAUGAGCAAACUGAGACACAGAGAGGCUAAAGAGCUUGCUCAAGGCCACACAGCCAAUCAGCGGCAGAGCCAGGGUUCAAACCCAGACUGUAAGCUCCAUGAGGAGGGACUGGACCACCUCCUUCACUACUGUUUCCCCCAUGUGUAGCACUGUACCUGGCCCACAGUAGAUUACUAAGAAGAAGAUUGUUGCAUUCAAUUUCAGAUUAGAAAAUGAAGGUCCUGGGAACUCCCUGGAGAUCCAGUGGUUAGGACUCCGCACUUUCACUGCCAGAGCCCAGGUUCAAUCCCUGGUCCGGGAACUAAGAUCCUGUAAGCUGUGUGU
This is a non-coding RNA of Kogia breviceps (pygmy sperm whale), 570 nucleotides long. The record is from RefSeq and is a predicted model, not a curated record. NCBI's taxonomy places the organism in Eukaryota, Metazoa, Chordata, Mammalia, Artiodactyla, Physeteridae.